UGGACUUUGAUUUGUACUCUUAAACAGAGAAUAUAAAGAUGAUUUUCUGUCAUUUACAAACCCUAGCAGCCAUCAUUUGCACACAGAAAAACUCACUCUCUAAAAAUCUCAUUUUCUUGCCACUUUCAAAAUCUGUCAACAUUGGCCAAAGAACUGAACCUUGCCUUGCUUAAUACAACAUCCAUUCAUCAUUUUGAACCUGUUUUCAC
Molecule: long non-coding RNA, 209 nt
Filed under: Lathyrus oleraceus (garden pea)
Lineage: Eukaryota; Viridiplantae; Streptophyta; Magnoliopsida; Fabales; Fabaceae
Description: Pisum sativum (pea) long non-coding RNA (PSAT_LNC007439)
Source: RNAcentral